This 3981-nucleotide long non-coding RNA is filed under the name Androctonus crassicauda. Lineage: Eukaryota; Metazoa; Arthropoda; Arachnida; Scorpiones; Buthidae. The record is from RNAcentral.
CAAAAUUUUAGACGACAUCAAGGUCACGAAACUCUCAGCAACUUUUUUUUUUUUUUUAAGAAAUAUCUACACAUGAAAUAACAUACCAGAAGCAUCCUAAACAAGUACUUGUGAAUAGAACCGAAAACAAAAAUUAUUUUCUUUCUUUAUGCCAUUUUUUUGCUUACAAUAUAAGCUGCAUAACCGAAUUCUCUAGAAAUCCGUAACUCGCAACUGCGCUUUUUUUUUAUUAAUGCAAAGCGUGUUUGCGGUUUAUUCUUUUUUUUUUUUUUCGGAGGUUGUGCAUCUGGACGAAAGUCUAACAUCACCCUAGGCACAUCCCAACCUGUUCGAGUAUCGAUUGGCGUGAGUUGCUCCGUAAUGGUACCUCGGGCAUCUACCUGUUAGAAGUAAAUCAAAUCGGUAGAAAGAAGUCAUUUCCAUCCGAACACCCCGGAGGAAUAGGCUAGGAAUAUUGUAUGGCCUUUUUCCCCUCUCCUGUUUCUCUUUUACGUUAACAAAACUGGUUAGAUACGUAGCAUAGUUUUUUUUUUUUACAAUUAUUAAUCUAUCAAACGUCAGAUUAAAAGUAGAAGACGAAAAAUAAAUUUCCAAUUCGUUACAGAAAUUUCGUUCUUGUAACGGCAUUAUCCCAUGAUAAAUGAGUGCCAAACGUAGAUAAAACUAUUCUCUGUUGCAUAUCUAUGCUCCAUUUCUCUAAUUUGAUCCUAUUCAUCAACUCGCUGAAUUGAAAUGGUCGAGAUCGAGUUUCCGACUUUACGUUAUGCGCGUUUAGCACACAUUUUUCAAAUCGUUUUGCUUAAAAUAACAAAAUUCUGAUAUCAUAAUUAAGGAAUUUGAAUGCAUUUAAAGUUUUUCUUUGACGAUUUACAUCCGUUUUUCUUCGUUUUGCGCAAAUUUUUCUUUCGUUUUAAAGAUUUUCCUAACAGAAAAAAAAAAAAACUUUUCCGGAUAUCCCACUACAUCAACAAGUAACACAUAAUUUUAGUUGCAUGUAAACAUAAAAUAAAUCUAAUAAUAUAAAAAAUAAAUAUAAUAUAAUAUAUAAAUAAAUAAGAAUUCGCCUUUUACGUAAGAACGGUAUCAGUUUGUUACAAAAUAGCAGUUUAAAAAAUAAAAAGAAAAUGAUCAAGGGUAUUUUUGGAUUGCCUUACGUCAUCGAUCAGGAUAGGGCGAUGACGUCACGCUGACGUCAACCCGGUGACGUAAUUGGUCACAUUGGGAGACGAUGAUGAAUAGACUGGGGCCAACAGUGCAUGAGCAGCAGUUAUGCAUAGAAGACUCUUCCAAUUGCUAUUGAUUUUAAAUGGCAUAAUUACUCAGCCAGAUAGAAAGAGCCUAUUAUUAACGCUAUUAUCUUAUAUUUGAAAGCCUUUUUUUUUAAUCCUUUAAUUUUUAUUAAAAGGUUAAUCAUACGAGAAAAUUAUUUUAUUUUGAAACUGCUCGGUUUUGUUCAGUAAACUACUUUAAUUAUAAUUUUAUUUUAUUUACAAUGCUUAAGGAUUUACAGUAAUACAAAUUUUUUUAAGUUAGCAUCUCGGAUAUGAAGGUGGAAGAUGGUAAUUUUUUUUAUAGAGUAAAGUAAUUUUUGAAUGUUAUUUGGACGUUAUAAUUGUGUUUCAGUGCUAAUAAAAUAGUUAAGAUGCUGUUUUCGAUUUGCAUCUGUUAACAAAUUGGAAAAAUUUAACAAAUAAGUAAAAAAAUUAAACAGUUUUUAAACCGCUUUUUUUACAAGAAACCUGUUGUUUGCAUUCGACUUGCCUGUCUGUUCAACUGUCCGUCAUCGAAAUCAACAUCACAAAGUACUCAGAUCGUCAUUCGUUUAUUAUCCAAAUUACAUGCCUGUUAAUUUCGAGAGCGUUAAGCGUUCUCAUUAACAAAAUGGCGCCAGUUCGAAACAAAUACUGUACUGUAUUAAAAUGUCAAUAUCUCUAAAACUAUUUAUCGGACGUGAAUGACAUUAUAGUCAUUCGAAAGGAUUGUAGAUAUAGUUUACAACAAACUGUGGUAAAAUAUCUCGAGAACAAAACAUCGCAGAGUAUUCAGAUUUUAGAUAGUAGUACAAUUUUAUACCACAACUAAUUUUAAAGUCUCCACGUUGUUUCGCUACAAAAUGGCAGCCGUUCAGAUAGUCUAAACAUUCGGUAGCUAUCUCAUUAAGAUAUUCUUUGUGGCACAUGCAAGAUAUUAUGCUCAUUUGAAAGAUUUCUUAUCAUAGGUGAAAGCUAUAAUCUCUUUAUACAUUUGCCAGUUUAAUUAUACAUUUUGAGAACUUCCUACAAUAUUAAAUAUGCAGAAUGUUAAGUUUAAACAGCAAUUCGCUACUAAUUCUUGAGAAUUGCUGAAUAGAUUAGUUUAUAAAGCGCUUACGAAAUGAUUAUGAUUUCAUAAAUCGCUCUAAUCUUAGAUGAUUGAAAUAUCGAAAUCCACCAUUUUUUUUUAUUCCAUUUUGAUGACUGCUGUUUGUAUUUUUCCUUUUAACUUUUUUUCUGCUUUUAACAGCUUCAUUUGAACUUAUAGAAGAAAACCGUAAAGAUUUGAGAGAUGAAUUCGCAAUAAAUCAUUGGGAGCUUUAAUGGAACAUAACUUUAGCUGUUAUCAACAGUAAGAAACUUAAGUUUAGCCAUGCAGAUACAUUUAGGAUGAUUUUUAAGCUUGUUGGAUUCCUCAUGUUUUAUGAAUUGCCAAUUUUCAAAGUAGAAUAAUUAUCAGCAAGUUUCGGCCAAGCCGCAAUUAGGAAUGGGAAAUAAUUCAUCGUUUUAAUGUAUCCAGUUAGCUACAAUCGUGUAUUUUGCUAAUGGAGAUGCUAUCUGCGAAGAUACGCUUAAUCGUCUUGGCACAUUAACUGUUCCAACUACUCUACUUAUCAUGAGAGAUUUUAGAGAAGCUCAAUUUGACGUUUAUAGUAGCGAUUACUCUUGCCCAAUUUUCAUUUUUCCUUGCCGAAUACUAAAUUUUUAUUAAAAAUACCUUGACUUAAUUAGAAUAAAUUUGCACUUUUUUUUUUACUCUCUAAGCUAAUAUGGCGGCUCUGUUAGCGGUUGAUAUAGUAGUCGAAACGGUACAAAUGUUUAAAAAGAUCGGGGAAGACUCGAUUGUGACAAGCAUGCAUGAUCGAUCAACGAAAGUUGGGAAAGUCAUUUAUCAAAUAAGAAAGUAAGUUAAUUCUAUCGGAUCACCACCUAGCCGUAUUGGAGGGUGAAGUGAAGAAGAAAAAACUCUCCCUCUUUCUCUCCAUCUUGCACGUUUUCGCCUUCGGAGUGUUGGAGAAACGGGAUGGAUGUACAGGAUGAGGUCAUCGAAAAUGUCACUUAUAACAGUGUUCCUGUCUGUUCGCCUUAAGAGACGCUUGAGUAAUCGAAUCAAUCCAUUUUACAUUCUGUGUUUUGUCUUAUCGUUUUGCCAGAAACUUUACAAAGUUUUCUGGAGACUGUUAGUUUUCAUCAAAUCAACUAAAAUAACUCGACCCAGUUUAUACGAAAAUUGCACGAUUUUUCUCCAACGGCAUCCUAGUAAUAAAUUAUUAUUGGCCUCUUUACCUCGCGAAUAGUUAAAACAACAAUAAAAGAAAAACUUGUCGCAUAUUUCCUAAAUAAACUAUGACAAGUUUUCAAGCAUAAAUUUAUGCAAAAUUUCUCCAUGUUUAGCACGGCGUGUGACAUCAAUCUUAAGUAAUUUAAUUUAUAGUUAAACAAUUAAAACAUAUAACUAAACAUCACGAUAAAGUAAUCACUUUUUCAAUUAGAAAAACGUGAAAGUUAAAGAAACGUGUUGUCACACCAUUUUCUAACCACUUUUUCCAUUAAUUCCAUCUUCGCUGAUUGGCAUUCAUUGUUUGUAUUGGAUUUUCAGCUUUACAUUCUGCAUGUGUGUUUGUGUGUAUAUGUGUACAUAUAUAUAUAUAUAUAUAUAUAUAGACACCCCGGGAACAAUAAUAUCUAUAUAUAGACAACAAAAAUUUUAAUUUAAACACAAAUAAAA